CGGAGGGUGCAAGCGUUGCUCGGAAUUAUUGGGCGUAAAGGGUAGGUAGGUGGUCUCAUUUGUCUUAUGUGAAAGCCUUGAGCUUAACUCAAGAAGUGCGUAAGAAACGGUGAGACUCGAGUCCUGGAGAGGGUCGUGGAAUUCCCGGUGUAGCGGUGAAAUGCGUAGAGAUCGGGAGGAACACCAGAGGCGAAGGCGGCGACCUGGACAGGUACUGACACUCAACUACGAAAGCGUGGGGAGCAAACAGGAUUAGAUACCCUGGUAGUCCACGCUGUAAACGAUGGGUACUAGGCUUGGUGGGUCUUGACCCCUGCCGAGCCGGAGCUAACGCAAUAAGUACCCCGCCUGGGAAGUACGGUCGCAAGACUA
This 372-nucleotide ribosomal RNA is filed under the name uncultured organism. Its description in RNAcentral is "bacterial SSU rRNA". It matches the Rfam family "Bacterial small subunit ribosomal RNA", at positions 526 to 896 of the family's 1533-position model. The record is from RNAcentral.